GACGAACGCUGGCGGCGUGCCUAAUACAUGCAAGUAGAACGCUGAAGCGAGGAGCUUGCUCUUCUUGGAUGAGUUGCGAACGGGUGAGUAACGCGUAGGUAACCUGCCUUGUAGCGGGGGAUAACUAUUGGAAACGAUAGCUAAUACCGCAUAACAAUGGAUGACACAUGUCAUUUAUUUGAAAGGGGCAAUUGCUCCACUACAAGAUGGACCUGCGUUGUAUUAGCUAGUAGGUGAGGUAAUGGCUCACCUAGGCGACGAUACAUAGCCGACCUGAGAGGGUGGAUCGCCACCCCGGGAAUGGGAACCGGCCCAGACUCCUACGGGAGGCAGCAGUAGGGAAACUUCGGCAAUGGGGGCAACCCUGACCGAGCACCGCCGCGUGAGUGGAGAAGGUUUUCGGAUCGUAAAGCUCUGUUGUAAGUCAAGAACGGGUGUGAGAGUGGAAAGUUCACGCUGUGACGGUAGCUAACCAGAAAGCGACGGCUAACUACGUG
RNAcentral lists this ribosomal RNA (497 nucleotides) under uncultured bacterium. RNAcentral describes it as "partial 16S ribosomal RNA". It matches the Rfam family "Bacterial small subunit ribosomal RNA", at positions 28 to 507 of the family's 1533-position model. The record is from RNAcentral.